Molecule: long non-coding RNA, 2404 nt
Organism: Centropristis striata (black sea bass)
Lineage: Eukaryota; Metazoa; Chordata; Actinopteri; Perciformes; Serranidae
Exons: 3
Source: RefSeq, a predicted model, not a curated record
UGAAGCUGGAGGGAGUGACGCCAGCCUCGCCACAUGUAGAGAAGCCAGUGUAUGCUGAGUCCAGGGAAUAAAUGAGGGCUGUCAGGCUGACUAAUGACCGGGUCUCUGCUGCGGUGGAAUCAGGAGAAAGUCUCCAUCUACCGAUGUCACUCAUUCUGCGAUGAACCCCAGCGCUGAUGGAUUGUAGGAUCUGGCUAUGAUUACACGCUGCACUGGCAUCCACUCAUCCCCCGAUCCCUUUGUUAUUCUGGAAACGGGUGUCCGUCAUUCUGCUAGCUGUCCAUCCAUCCACUUGGGUGGUGGACGUCCUGUGGACUCCGAAUGCCUGCAGUGUCAGAGGGGAGAUCCUGUCUUUCAGCAUCAAGAUCCAGAAUCCAGAAAACACUCACACAUACACACAUCUUUGGCCCCCCCACCUUCCCAUCAUGCCUUGCCUGGCUGUAUUAUGACAGGUGGAGUGUCGGUCGCCGCCAGCCGGACUCUUCCACCAGCAUCUCUCCGUGACUCAGAAGGGCUGCUGAAGAGCAUUAGUGUGAGAAAGUAUCAAAAUUUGUGUUUAGAAGUUCAUGUUUUCUGCAUAUAUUUACAUAUUCUGCAUAAAUAUAUGUGUCUCUGAAUGUGGUGAAAGAAGCACUCAGAUGUUGACUAAAAGCUCAAGAAACUUUCAUUUUGAUUUGAUUUUGGCGCCCCCCGUGGACAAAACCGGUAGUGUUUCCAUGAGCUCCAUUGCCUUAUAUUGUAAAGAUUUCGACCAGGCUGACAUGGACUUUAGUCUUUUCCAAGCCAGUGAGAAAAAGACAACUUAUUUUUAAUACAGUUUUUUUUCACACACAGGUGUUUGCAGGAUGCAAAGCGAUGAGGUAAUGUAUCUGUUUGUGGUGAUAUACAAUUUGUAACCCAUAACUGUAAAAUGAUGGGGAAAUGUAAAUUAAUAUACUGAUGUAAAACCACGUCUCACAAUGUAUUUCAUUCAUAAAGAAGGCAUAUUAUAUACCUGUCUCAGAGGAAGACGAGGUCCAACUCAGGAAACAACUCUUUAAAAUCCUGCAGCUCCCUCCAUCUCUAUUUGAUGAAAAGUUGACUCUUAUUCUUGCUCAUGCUCUAUCACUGUCCCUUUAGCUUUUUUUAAAAAUCUUCGGCAAAUUAUUUUCUUUUACUCUUUGCCGAUCCUGCUCCAGUAUCAGUUAUAACCACAACAUAUACAUAAAAAGUAAAGAAAUUUUAAGAAACAUCUCCCCCUGCUUACUUUAAACUGGCUAACAAAUGACCCAUUGUAAAACUUUGCUUCAGAAAAUGUAAACAUAAGCAUUUCCACCUUUGUGCCGUGAAUCAUUUCAUCUGAUACUUUGGGGAAUCGAAUCUGGGGACAGGCAUUAAGAAUGACUAUAGAAAUAGUCAUUCUUCUCACUGGUCUUGUUUGCUUAUGUAGGUCUUAGAGGCAUCUUUAUUAAAUUUAGACUGUUUCAAACUAGUUAAAGACUCGCCAUAUACAUUCAGGUAAACAUUACAUUACAUGUCAUUUAGCAGAAGCUUUUUUUUUUUUUUGGCAUUUUGCUGCUUUAUUAGAUAGUGACAGAUAGAAAGGGGAAGACAGAGGGGAAGACAUGCGGCAAAGGGGCCUCAGGCCGGAUUCGAACCCGGGUCCGCUGCAGCAAGGACUCAGCCUUAAUGGUACGCGCUCUACCAGUGUGAGCCACCAGGACGCCCCUAGCAGACGCUUUUGUCCAAAGCGACUUACAAUAAGGUGUUAAAAUAAUUGAUUAUUUUCUAUAUUGGUAAAUGAUUUGAUGCUUGAUUUCUGCUUCUCUGUUUGACUCCCUGGUGUCUGUCCCUGUUCUCUGUCUCUGUGCGUGACGUAGGUCACUAUCAAAGGUCAAACCUUGAGUGUAAUAAAUAUCUCAAUGCAUUUAUAUUAAAUUAGGCAAUAUGAUUUUGAUACAAUUAUUUUGUUUGUGUGUUAAUUUUGGUUUAGAAACUUUGACUACAUAUAUUUCAUUGUCUGUUUCAUAUUUUUUAGACUUUUAGAAUCUAUGUGAGACAGUGAAAAUCCUUUGACUCUGUAGACAUAAUAUCUUUGUUAUACAUAACAAGACAAAAUGUUUUGGUUGAAUGUUCUGGAGAAGAGGCCAGGUCAGGAUGGCCUUGUCCGGGGCAGCAAGCAACCAGGUGGCAUGACGUGCCGUUGUAUUAAUUAAAACUGGCGAAUCAGCGAUCAAGAAGGCGGAACUUCCUGUAAGAAAUCGACCAGCAUGUUUUGUAAACAAAUGUUAGUAUUUUAAUGGGUUCAGGGAGAGAGUCGUGGUUCAGACUUCACGAACUGAAACACGUCUGUUUGUAUUCAGGGACAUGAGUUUUUGAACCCAGAGAUCUCUGUAAAGUGCACAUUUUUUGACGUAUUGUAAUA